GGAGGGACAAUAAAAUUAUACUUUAAAGUACAUGCAUGGUUUAUUUGUUUCAUAUACUUGGCAACUAAUUAAGAUUUUUAUUUAAUUCUAAUUCAGACUUAAUUAAAGUACAGCAAGCAGUCAUUUGACACUAAACAAUUGAGACAGACUUCACGACACCCUCAUGGGUGGUUAAGAUCUUUUUACACACCCUGGACAUGCUGGCAGAAGGUAACAAUUGCAAUGCCAACAUAAACUUCAGAUGUGAUAUACAUGUACUGUUUUGUAAAUUUCACUGAAACUAGAAAUUCACAUUAUCCAUAUUGUUAUUAUAU
This 314-nucleotide long non-coding RNA is filed under the name Mytilus galloprovincialis (Mediterranean mussel). The record is from RNAcentral. Lineage: Eukaryota; Metazoa; Mollusca; Bivalvia; Mytilida; Mytilidae.